This 253-nucleotide ribosomal RNA is filed under the name uncultured bacterium. RNAcentral describes it as "partial 16S ribosomal RNA". It matches the Rfam family "Bacterial small subunit ribosomal RNA", at positions 524 to 776 of the family's 1533-position model. The record is from RNAcentral.
UACGUAGAGGGCUAGCGUUGUCCGGAAUCAUUGGGCGUAAAGGGCUCGUAGGCGGUUUGUCACGUCGGGAGUGAAAACUCGGGGCUUAACCCCGAGCCUGCUUCCGAUACGGGCUGACUAGAGGUAUGCAGGGGAGAACGGAAUUCCUGGUGUAGCGGUGAAAUGCGCAGAUAUCAGGAGGAACACCGGUGGCGAAGGCGGUUCUCUGGGCAUUACCUGACGCUGAGGAGCGAAAGUGUGGGGAGCGAACAGG